CCUACGGGUGGCAGCAGUGAGGAAUAUUGGUCAAUGGCCGUAAGGCUGAACCAGCCAAGUCGCGUGAAGGAAGAAGGAUCUCUGGUUUGUAAACUUCUUUUAUAGGGGACUAAAGGUAUCUACGUGAGGAAAUAUCCAUGUACCCUUUGAAUAAGCAUAGGAUAACUCUGUGCCAGCAGCCGCGGUAAUACGGAGGAUGCGAGCGUUAUCCGGAUUUAUUGGGUUUAAAGGGUGCGUAGGUUGUUUUUUAAGUCAGCGGUGAAAGUUUAUGGCUCAACCAUAAAAGUGCCGUGGAAACUGGAAGGCUUGAGUGUGUUUGAGGUAGGCGGAAUGCGUAGUGUAGCGGUGAAAUGCAUAGAUAUCACGCAGAACUCCGAUUGCGAAGGCAGCUUACUAAGCCAUAACUGACACUGAGGCACGAAAGCGUGGGGAUCAAACAGGAUUAGAUACCCCUGUAGUC
This 460-nucleotide ribosomal RNA is filed under the name uncultured bacterium. RNAcentral describes it as "partial 16S ribosomal RNA". It matches the Rfam family "Bacterial small subunit ribosomal RNA", at positions 338 to 795 of the family's 1533-position model. The record is from RNAcentral.